This 253-nucleotide ribosomal RNA is filed under the name uncultured bacterium. RNAcentral describes it as "partial 16S ribosomal RNA". It matches the Rfam family "Bacterial small subunit ribosomal RNA", at positions 524 to 776 of the family's 1533-position model. The record is from RNAcentral.
UACGUAGGUGGCAAGCGUUGUCCGGAUUUACUGGGCGUAAAGAGCGCGCAGGCGGUCGAAUAAGUCGAAUGUGAAAGCCCCCGGCUCAACUGGGGAGGGUCAUUCGAUACUGUCCGACUCGAAGGCAGGAGAGAGAAGCAGAAUUCCCGGUGUAGUGGUGAAAUGCGUAGAUAUCGGGAGGAAUACCAGUGGCGAAGGCGGCUUCUUGGCCUGUUCUUGACGCUGAGGUGCGAAAGCGUGGGGAGCGAACCGG